AUGCCAUUACCAUUCAAAAGAGAAAAACCAAAACUUCCUAAUAACCAGAUAUGUGCAAUACACCAUCUGAAAGGUCUUGAAAAGAGAUUCAAGAAAGAUCAGCAGUAUUAUGACUAUGUAAAAUUUAUGGAUGACAUAAUUUCACGUGGUGAUGCAGAGAAGGUUUCUGAAGAAGAGAUUGACAACAGUCCAGUUUGGUAUAUUCCACAUCAUGGAGUUUAUCAUCCACAAAAACCAGGGAAAAUACGUGUAGUAUUUGACUGUUCUGCCAAGUUUCAGGACACAUCCCUCAACGACCAUCUGCUUAAAGGUCCUGACUUAACCAAUGCUUUGUUAGGGGUUCUAUGCCAUUUCCGAAAAGGUCCCAUUGCAAUCAUGUGUGACAUCAAAAGAAUGUUCCACCAGUUUCAUGUGAAAAAGGAGGAUCAAGAUUACCUGCGAUUUUUAUGUUGGGAGAAUGUAAAUUUGGAGAUCACACCAUCAGUCUACAGAAUGGGAGUUCACUUGUUUGGAGCUGCCUCGUCUCCUGGUUGUUCUAACUUUGGUUUGAAACAUCUGGCAACUCAAGGACAUGGCCAGUAUAGUGAAGAUACCAUACGCUUCAUUCAAAGAAAUUUCUAUGAUGGUUUAAUAAGUGUCCAAACUGAGACAGAAGCCAUCCAGCUUAUUAAAGAAUCAAGAGAAUUUUGCUUCACUGGCAGGUUAAGACUCCAGAAGUUUGUUUCUAACAGUGAAAGAGUGAUGGCAACCAUCCCAGAAAAAGAACGUGCCACAGUCAAAGAUCUGGAUAUGGCUUUGAGUUUACCUCAAAUGGAAAGAGCUCUGGGAGUAGAGUGGUGCAUUACAUCUGACUCUUUCAAAUUCAGAGUUCAAGUAAAACCCAAUCCUGUAACAAGAAGGGGUGUGCUUUCUACCGUGGCCUCUGUGUAUGACCCCCUAGGGUUUAUGGCACCAUUUGUUUUUCUUUUGGGUAAACAAAUACUCCAGCAAAUGUGCAAAGAGAAGGUUAGUUGGGAUGAGGAAGUUCCAGAGAACUUGAGACCUCGGUGGGAGUCCUGGAUCAGAAAUUCACCCAAUCUGGCUGAAAUGGAAAUCAAGAGAGACUUCUUACCUUCAAAUUUUGGCGGGGCCAUAAUGUAUGAGCUCCACCAUUUUGCGGAUGCAAGUGUCACUGGAUACGGUGAAUGUUCUUACCUGCGAGCAAUUAACAAGUCUAAUAAAGUUCAUUGCUGUUUGGUAAUGGGAAAAGCAAGAGUUUCACCAACCAAAGUUACAACUAUACCAAUGCUAGAACUUACAGCAGCAGUUGUUGCAGUGCAAACAAGUGAUAUGCUUCGGAAUGAGUUAGAAAUUCAAGAUCUAAAGGCGUUCUUUUGGACCGAUUUUACAUUCGUUCUUGGCUAUAUAAACAAUGACGCCAGACGAUUUCAUGUGUUCAUAGCCAAUCGUAUUCAGAGAAUCAGAUCCAGUUCAAAGCCUGAACAAUGGGAUUAUGUUGCCUCCUAG
Cyprinus carpio (common carp) is the source of this 1506-nucleotide long non-coding RNA. The record is from Ensembl. NCBI's taxonomy places the organism in Eukaryota, Metazoa, Chordata, Actinopteri, Cypriniformes, Cyprinidae.